Molecule: transfer RNA, 83 nt
Filed under: Cryptoglena skujai
Lineage: Eukaryota; Euglenozoa; Euglenophyceae; Euglenales; Euglenaceae
Description: tRNA-Leu
Rfam family: tRNA
About the family: Transfer RNA (tRNA) molecules are approximately 80 nucleotides in length. Their secondary structure includes four short double-helical elements and three loops (D, anti-codon, and T loops).
Source: RNAcentral
GCCUUCGUGGUGAAAUGGUAGACACUUAUGAUUCAAAAUCAUAUGCUAUAUAUAGCGUACCGGUUCAAGUCCGGUUGAAGGUA